GCGGGAAUAGCUCAGUUGGUAGAGCACAACCUUGCCAAGGUUGGGGUCGCGAGUUCGAAUCUCGUUUCCCGCUCAA
Molecule: transfer RNA, 76 nt
Filed under: Candidatus Coxiella mudrowiae
Lineage: Bacteria; Pseudomonadati; Pseudomonadota; Gammaproteobacteria; Legionellales; Coxiellaceae
Description: tRNA-Gly
Rfam family: tRNA
About the family: Transfer RNA (tRNA) molecules are approximately 80 nucleotides in length.
Source: RNAcentral